UACGUAUUGUGCAAGCGUUAAUCGGAAUUACUGGGCGUAAAGCGUGCGCAGGCGGUUUUGUAAGUCAGAUGUGAAAUCCCCGGGCUUAACCUGGGAACUGCGUUUGAAACUACAAGGCUAGAGUGUAGCAGAGGGGGGUGGAAUUCCACGUGUAGCAGUGAAAUGCGUAGAGAUGUGGAGGAACACCGAUGGCGAAGGCAGCCCCCUGGGUUAACACUGACGCUCAGGCACGAAAGCGUGGGGAGCAAACAGGAUUAGAAACCCUAGUAGUCC
RNAcentral lists this ribosomal RNA (273 nucleotides) under uncultured bacterium. RNAcentral describes it as "partial 16S ribosomal RNA". It matches the Rfam family "Bacterial small subunit ribosomal RNA", at positions 524 to 796 of the family's 1533-position model. The record is from RNAcentral.